Molecule: long non-coding RNA, 553 nt
Organism: Helianthus annuus (common sunflower)
Lineage: Eukaryota; Viridiplantae; Streptophyta; Magnoliopsida; Asterales; Asteraceae
Exons: 2
Source: RefSeq, a predicted model, not a curated record
AUUUCUUUUCUUUCUCUAUCUCGCUACUCUCGCUAUAUAUAUAUAUAUAUUAUUUACACUCCAACAAUAACAAAACUCUGGCUCGUUUUAAGUGUUUUAACUCCCGAUCACCGCUACCCUUUCCGAUUGAUCUGGAGCCCCAUAACGCAUGUCAAGGCUCUGCCCGACUAAGUUCCUUGGGGUUCGGUCUCAUGACAUAGGGAUAAGGUUGAAUUAGGGGUACUAUACUUAACACGAGUGCAUUAUAUAUUUUUAAAAUAGCUCAGAAGUUAUACCCAAGAUUCUACCAGGAGGCUUUCUAGUUGAACCCUAAAGUUACAAAGAGUGGUUGGAAGGAAAAGAAUCGGAUAACAUGCAAAUUUUAUGUUUGUUGUUUAAAGGGCAUGUGGUGGAAGGAUGACACAGAGCCGCAUAAGAUGGGUGCGACAUGGUGGUGAUAGCAAAGAUUGCGGUUGUAUUUAUAGGCAAUGUAAUGGUUUGAAAUGAACAUAUAUGCUUUUCAGAUUAUUAUUCGAAUACAUGAAUAAUUAAUGUAUAUUUUUUACUUCGUAAA